RNAcentral lists this ribosomal RNA (253 nucleotides) under uncultured bacterium. RNAcentral's name for it is "partial 16S ribosomal RNA". It matches the Rfam family "Bacterial small subunit ribosomal RNA", at positions 524 to 776 of the family's 1533-position model. The record is from RNAcentral.
UACGUAGGGGGCAAGCGUUGUCCGGAUUUAUUGGGCGUAAAGAGCGUGUAGGCGGCCAGACAGGUCAGCUGUGAAAACUCGAGGCUCAACCUCGAGACGUCGGUUGAAACCGUCUGGCUAGAGUCCGGAAGAGGAGAGUGGAAUUCCCGGUGUAGCGGUGAAAUGCGCAGAUAUCGGGAAGAACACCCGUGGCGAAGGCGGCUCUCUAGUACGGUACUGACGCUGAGACGCGAAAGCGUGGGGAGCGAACAGG